AUACAUGCAAGUCGAACGCACAGCGAAAGGUGCUUGCACCUUUCAAGUGAGUGGCGAACGGGUGAGUAACACGUGGACAACCUGCCUCAAGGCUGGGGAUAACAUUUGGAAACAGAUGCUAAUACCGAAUAAAACUUAGUGUCGCAUGACACAAAGUUAAAAGGCGCUUCGGCGUCACCUAGAGAUGGAUCCGCGGUGCAUUAGUUAGUUGGUGGGGUAAAGGCCUACCAAGACAAUGAUGCAUAGCCGAGUUGAGAGACUGAUCGGCCACAUUGGGACUGAGACACGGCCCAAACUCCUACGGGAGGCUGCAGUAGGGAAUCUUCCACAAUGGGCGAAAGCCUGAUGGAGCAACGCCGCGUGUGUGAUGAAGGCUUUCGGGUCGUAAAGCACUGUUGUAUGGGAAGAACAGCUAGAAUAGGAAAUGAUUUUAGUUUGACGGUACCAUACCAGAAAGGGACGGCUAAAUACGUGCCAGCAGCCGCGGUAAUACGUAUGUCCCGAGCGUUAUCCGGAUUUAUUGGGCGUAAAGCGAGCGCAGACGGUUUAUUAAGUCUGAUGUGAAAGCCCGGAGCUCAACUCCGGAAUGGCAUUGGAAACUGGUUAACUUGAGUGCAGUAGAGGUAAGUGGAACUCCAUGUGUAGCGGUGGAAUGCGUAGAUAUAUGGAAGAACACCAGUGGCGAAGGCGGCUUACUGGACUGCAACUGACGUUGAGGCUCGAAAG
Molecule: ribosomal RNA, 726 nt
Filed under: Leuconostoc mesenteroides
Lineage: Bacteria; Bacillati; Bacillota; Bacilli; Lactobacillales; Lactobacillaceae
Description: bacterial SSU rRNA
Rfam family: Bacterial small subunit ribosomal RNA
Source: RNAcentral